This 416-nucleotide ribosomal RNA is filed under the name uncultured prokaryote. RNAcentral's name for it is "bacterial SSU rRNA". It matches the Rfam family "Bacterial small subunit ribosomal RNA", at positions 505 to 918 of the family's 1533-position model. The record is from RNAcentral.
GUGUCAGCAGCCGCGGUAAUACGGGGGGGGCGAGCGUUGCCCGGAAUCACUGGGCUUAAAGGGGGCGUAGGCGGCCGGGUGUGUCGGGUGUGUAAUCCACCGGCUCAACCGGUGGGCUGCAUCCGAAACUGCCCGGCUAGAGGGCGUCAGAGGGGACCGGAACGCCCGGUGUAGCGGUGAAAUGCGUGGAUAUCGGGCGGAACGCCGGUGGGGAAGCCGGGUCCCUGGGGCGCACCUGACGCUGAGGCCCGAAAGCCAGGGGAGCGAAGGGGAUUAGAUACCCCCGGUAGUCCCAGCCGUAAACGAUGCGGGCUAGCCGUAGGUUUCCUUCGGGAAAUCCGUGGCUCAGGGAAACCGGUAAGCCCGCCGCCUGGGGAGUACGCUCGCAAGGGUGAAACUCAAAGGAAUUGGCGGGG